RNAcentral lists this ribosomal RNA (63 nucleotides) under uncultured soil eukaryote. RNAcentral's name for it is "partial 28S ribosomal RNA". The record is from RNAcentral.
UUGGACCUAAAAUCAGGUAGGAUCUACCCGUCUGAAUCUUAGCCAUAUCAAUAAGCGGAGGAA